This 254-nucleotide ribosomal RNA is filed under the name uncultured bacterium. RNAcentral's name for it is "partial 16S ribosomal RNA". It matches the Rfam family "Bacterial small subunit ribosomal RNA", at positions 333 to 606 of the family's 1533-position model. The record is from RNAcentral.
CCACCACGGGACGCAGCAGUGGGGAAUAUUGCACAAUGGGGGGAACCCUGAUGCAGCGACGCCGCGUGGGUGAAGGAGUAUUUCGGUAUGUAAAGCCCUAUCAGCAGGGAAGAACAAUGACGGUACCUGACUAAGAAGCACCGGCUAAAUACGUGCCAGCAGCCGCGGUAAUACGUAUGGUGCAAGCGUCAUCCGGAUUUACUGGGUGUAAAGGGAGCGCAGGCGGCGCGUCAAGCCUGGCGUGAAAGCCCGCG